This is a long non-coding RNA of Aethalodelphis obliquidens (Pacific white-sided dolphin), 3898 nucleotides long. RefSeq lists it as uncharacterized. The record is from RefSeq and is a predicted model, not a curated record. NCBI's taxonomy places the organism in Eukaryota, Metazoa, Chordata, Mammalia, Artiodactyla, Delphinidae. The transcript is spliced from 4 exons.
GGACUCUCAACCACUGCGCCACCAGGGAAGCCCCAUAUUCUUGAUUUUAUUAUUUACCACCUAGUAUAAUUAAGAAAAGAAAUGAGAUUUUGGAAUAAUCAAUACUUCUGUAACAAUUGUUGAUAUACACAUUCACUUCAGGAUCGGAGAAUGAUCUUUUUACAGAAAUCCAGAUUUUCAGAUCACUAAUCCUAGAAUAGGAUCUAAUUCUCCAUCCUCUUAGAGUUGGGAUUCAAAUACCAGUUUUGUGCUUUAAUAGUUGAGUAAUCUUUGGCAAAGUUAUUUUAUUUCCUCUGUGUCUUUUUUUUUUAAUAAAAUGGAGAUGAUGUUGUGGGAUGUUCCCAUUUGCAAUUAUCCAGUGGCCACCAAAGGCUGAGUAGGCCAGCUCUGCCACUGAUGGAUGUGAAAACUCUUUGGCUCAGCACACUAUGUCUAUAGGAAGCUACAUGUAUUAAAAAUAAAGACUCACAGCUAAACCAAAACGUUCAAUUUCUGGGCCCCCCUUUGAAGAAUAAGAAGAUUUCCCCCAUUUUCUCUUUAUGGCAGGAGAAUUAAAUUUGAUUAAGCCACAGUGAGGUUCUGGAGGAAGUUUCUUAGAGAAGAUGGGUCUUUCAAGGAGAGUCCUUCCAAGGGUGAAACUUCAUCCACAUCACUGUGCUAGUUCUUAAUGGUCGAAAGCUGCCUAUCUACCAUUUUCCUGCUAUUGGAAUGUUCAUCUUCUCCCUCCUCCACUUAGUGCUGAGGCCAAGACAAGGAGCCACAGGGGCUUCAGGCCACCAACGGGCAUCCACCAAGGUUUGUCCCAAAGCUGGUCAUCACAGACCUAGGAGCGCUGCCCUUCAGAAGCCACAGUACCCUGUGAAGCGUGCUGGUUUCUGAAUAAAGGGAGUGAGCAUUUUAGUUUGUGAGAUGUCAGGAUGCAGGAGAGCGUGUGAGACAUUAAGCAGUUUGGUGCGGUUGGCUGGACACCUGUAGGAAAUGGGUUGAGGAAGAUGAGGACCAGAUGGGACUGGGUCAAAAAUGGCUGGAAGUAAAACUAAACCCAACUAGCUGACUGGUCACUUUCUUCUUUGUGUCCUUACUCCACACUGCAUGGAUUUCUAUUCUGCUAUUUUUCAGAAUUGGUUAUACUUAUAAAAUAUAAGUUGCCUUUACUUCACUAUAAAACCCUGAGGAAGAAGAAUGUUUGUUGCAUUCCUUUCUAUCCCAAAUGGCCCAUACAGUGCUUGGCUCCACAGGACUGUAUAGUAUUAUAUGAUUGUAGCCCAACUGGUUAUUAUGAGCAUGGAUAACAGAAUGAAAUAGACUUGGGACUGAGUCAUGACCUGUUACUACCUACCAUGACCUUGUACAACUUAAUUGCCUGAGCACCAGAAUAUUAGUAAUAAAAUAAUAAUAACUAAUAAUAAUUAUUAUUUUUAGUUAUUAUUAUAACAUUUCUUUAGAGUCAACUAUGUGCCAGGCAUUGAUAAACUUUUUACAUGCAUUAUCUUAUUUAAUUCUCAUAUAAACUGCAUCAUAGGUAUGAUUUUAUUCCAAUUAUUCAAUUGAUAAAUAGCAAUGCAUACAUAUUAUGACUCACUGAAGUUAUAGAUACUGAAAAAUAAAUAAAGUACUUAAAUUGUUGCUUGUUUGUUUUCCAUCACAGUCUGAGCAAGAAAACUAAUGCCGAAGCUAGAUAAGCAGAACGUAGAUUGUCCCCACGCAUUAGUUGUGUGCUACUGUGUAAUUACUCCAAAACACAGUGGCUUAGAACAGCAGUAAACAUUUAUUAUCUCACACAGCUUUUGUAGGUCAGGCGUCCUACAGGCGUCAGGAGCAGCUUGACUGGGUAUUUCUGGCUCAGGCUCUCUUGUGAAAUUGUAGUCAAGAUUUUGGCUGGGAUGCAGUCAUUUGAAGGCUUCCUUGGGCUGGCGGAUCCACUUUGAAGAUGGUGCACUCACAUGCUCCACAAGUGAUUGCAGGCUGCUGACAAGAGGCUGCAGUACCUUGCCAUAUGAUGUCUCCAUAGGGUUGCUUGAGUGUCCUCAUAACAUGGCAGCUGGCAUCUCACAGAGUGGGUGAUUCCAGAAAAGACAAGGCUAAAGCCACACUGACUUUUAUGACCUAGCCUUAAAAGCCAUACUCUGUCAUUUUGAAAUACUCCUUUAGUUAUACCCCUAUUCAAGAGCAUGAAAAUCAGGAAGCAAGACUCAUUGGAGGCCAUCUUGCAGCGUGCCUACUGCCAUGUGGGUUAAGAGGAUGAGAAAGAAAGAUCACAGCGUCAAGUCUACACAAAAGUUAGUAUGGCUCAAGACAGGUUGGGAUGAGUAGUUGAAAGCUAAAGAUAUGAACAAUGCAGAAGUGAGAGAAGCCAGAUUUUAUGUGGCUAUGUGUGUGUGUUUCAGGAUGGGGAACGUGACUUAAGUGAUCUACCUGUGUAGAGACGGACUUUCUUUGAAAACUUGAAUACCCUUUUUGAAAGAUUGGGUGGGGGAAAUGUAGAGAGCAUGGAUAACAUUCAUCUCAGAUACACAAACAGGGGAAAAUGUAUAAACGAGACACACCCUUCAGAAGAAAGUCUGAAAGUUAGUGACCUUUUACCAGACUCUUGUGUUUUAGAUAAAAGAGAAUGUGCUCCAGAUAAUGCCUGUAACUGGCCCAAAAGAUGAUGUCACUGAAUUGAACCUGCAAUUUAAGUAGAAAUAAAAGGAAAAAAAAAAAUCAUGACGAUAAAGAAGUAAUAAAGACCUGGUUUGAAAAACAAAAAUUCCUAUUUGGCAAUAUCUUGGGGAGGAAAAAAUGAUGGUAUUUAGAUCAGCAAAUCUGGGUCAAAUGCAUCUCAAGGAAUUAGCAGAAAAGAGUGGAGGGGGGAAAAACUGAGAUUUUUGAACAGGAAAUGCAUGGCUCCUGCAAAGAAGUUAUAUACUUUUUAUUAUUUUCCAGCUCAAGUGGUUGACCUGCGUUCAUGGUCAAGUUCAGAGGUCAAUUUUGUGAUGGCUCAUCGAAUUAUAUCUAAAGUCCAGAGUCAUGUGGGCUCUUCCGUGGGGCUCCCUUCCCACCACCCCCGCCCUGCAAUCAUGCUGAGGAAGAAAGCCAGGGCACUGACCUCUCCUGACUCGCACACCAGAUCAUCUACAUGGGUACCUUGGGGAUUACCAUUAACUUUCUGAGGAAUCACGAGGCAGCCUGAAGUUAACCAGCACCUGGGAAAAAUAAGACAGAUGUUAUUAUCUCCAUUUUAUUCACCGGAAAUCAAAGCUCAGAGAGAAAAAUGUGUGCCCAAGAUGUGCUGGCUUGUCACUGACUCACCAUUGCAGCCGCCUUGAGAGCAUCCUCAAAGGUCUCCUACAACUCAGAGUGUGGUAUGAAGAUUGGAAGCAUUAGCAUCACCUGACACCCAAUCUGCUAAGACGAGCAUCUGCAUUUUAACCAGACCCCCCAGAAGACAGGGUGUGAGAAGUGCUGCUCUGGACCACUGAGCUGGAGACUGAAAACUGCAUCUCCCAGACUCUACCAUCAGCUAGUGAUGUGUGGUCAGAUACUCUCUCAUGAUGCUGGGCAGUGACAGCUAGCUGCAACUCCCUCUCGGCCACAGACCUGAGGAUAAAUAAUCCAUACACCGACAACCGUUCUGUAAGCAUACAACCGUUCUCUUUUUCACUUUCAGUACAGGACACAAUAAGUUACAUGAGAUAUUCAACACUUUAUUAUAAAAUAGGCUUUGUUUUAGAUAAUUAUGCCCUACUGUAGGCUAACGUAAAUGUUCUGAGCACGUUUAAGGUAGGCAAGGCUAAGCUAUGACGGUCGGUAGAUUAGGCGUAUUAAAUGUAUUUUUGACUUGAUAUUUUCAACUUAUGAUGGGUUUAUAGGGACUUAACCCUGUCGUAACUUGAGAAAGAUCUGUAUAUCAAAAGCA